This 449-nucleotide ribosomal RNA is filed under the name uncultured bacterium. RNAcentral describes it as "bacterial SSU rRNA". It matches the Rfam family "Bacterial small subunit ribosomal RNA", at positions 329 to 793 of the family's 1533-position model. The record is from RNAcentral.
UACCAGACUCCUACGGGAGGCAGCAGUGGGGAAUAUUGCACAAUGGGCGAAAGCCUGAUGCAGCAACGCCGCGUGAAGGAAGAAGGCCUUCGGGUCGUAAACUUCUGUCCUUGGGGAAGAAGAACUGACGGUACCUGAAGAAGAAGCCCCGGCUAACUACGUGCCAGCAGCCGCGGUAAUACGUAGGGGGCAAGCGUUAUCCGGAUUUACUGGGUGUAAAGGGGGCGCAGACGGCGAUGCAAGCCAGGAGUGAAAGCCCGGGGCCCAACCCCGGGACUGCUCUUGGAACUGCGUGGCUGGAGUGCAGGAGGGGCUGGCGGAAUUCCUGGUGUAGCGGUGAAAUGCGUAGAUAUCAGGAGGAACACCGGUGGCGAAGGCGGCCUGCUGGACUGCAACUGACGUUGAGGCCCGAAAGCGUGGGGAGCAAACAGGAUUAGAUACCCCAGUAC